Molecule: long non-coding RNA, 673 nt
Organism: Panonychus citri (citrus red mite)
Lineage: Eukaryota; Metazoa; Arthropoda; Arachnida; Trombidiformes; Tetranychidae
Exons: 3
Source: RefSeq, a predicted model, not a curated record
CGAAUCUCGAGCAACUUACUACUUAUUGUGAUGAUAAAUUUGAUGAUGAUUUUGUUCUCGUCGAAAGCCAAUUACCGAUAUUUGGAAAUCUUCUACAUCUCGAGCUUGUCGAUGCUUCAAAUAAUGGAUCUACUCUCACAAAAUUUUUGAACUUGUGUCCAAAUUUACUCAACUUUUCUCUGACUGUGUAUUUUAAUAAAAUGAAUCGAAUUCUUCAAAUCAACAGAAACUUCAAUGUCCAAAGAUUGGAUUUAGAUUUUUUUACUAAGGAUCGAGAAAAUAUACUAAAAUUUAUAGAAAAGUUUCCGAACUGUCGAUACUUGAGUAUCAGAAAUAGUUUAUAUUUACUAUCUUCACAAGAUUUGAUCCAGAUUAAAAGUAAAUUACCUCAUUUGUCGUUACUGCAUUUCAAAAAUGAUUGGACCGAUUUAGCAGAAAUACAAACCAUCAAAAACUAUUGUCACUCGCAAAAUCCUAAAAUUGAUGUUUACUUUGGUUCUGAAGAUGACAAACUAUUGAUGUCUCAUGAAAUUUAUCGAAAGUUUCGUAAUUCAUUUCUGCCUUAUAUUAAGUCAGGAAGUUAAACGUUUCUGAUUUUCCAUUAAUCAUCGAGCCUAACGAAAAAAUCGGACUGAUUUUAAUUUAAUAUCAGUUCGUUUGUAUAAUCUUUUUG